RNAcentral lists this unclassified non-coding RNA (297 nucleotides) under plant metagenome. RNAcentral's name for it is "partial contains 5.8S ribosomal RNA, internal transcribed spacer 2, and large subunit ribosomal RNA". The stretch from base 1 to 105 matches the Rfam family "5.8S ribosomal RNA", at positions 50 to 154 of the family's 154-position model. The record is from RNAcentral.
GAAAUGCGAAAAGUAGUGUGAAUUGCAGAAUUCAGUGAAUCAUCGAAUCUUUGAACGCACAUUGCGCCCCUUGGUAUUCCAUGGGGCAUGCCUGUUCGAGCGUCAUUUUGUACCCUCAAGCACUGCUUGGUGUUGGGCGUUUGUCCUGCAAAGGACUCGCCUGAAAGCGAUUUGCGGCCAACGUACUGGUGGUAGAGCGCAGCACAAUUUGCGUCUCUCCCUUCUACGUCGGCGUCCAUGAAGCCUUUUUUCAACGUUUGACCUCGGAUCAGGUAGGGAUACCCGCUGAACUUAAGC